CGGGCCAGUAUUAAGCAUUACCCCGUGGUGGGGUUCCCGAGCGAUCAUAAGGGAGCUGACUGCAAAUCUGCCGUCAUCGACUUCAAGGUUCGACUCGAGCAAUAGUGAGAGAACGUUGCCGCAGGCAACGGCCCGAAGGGUGAGGAGCUUUAGCUCCGAAUAAUCCUUCC
Molecule: small RNA, 170 nt
Filed under: Salmonella enterica subsp. enterica serovar Enteritidis str. 08-1080
Lineage: Bacteria; Pseudomonadati; Pseudomonadota; Gammaproteobacteria; Enterobacterales; Enterobacteriaceae
Description: RtT RNA
Rfam family: RtT RNA (bases 74-162)
About the family: This family represents a bacterial cis-regulatory element known as RtT RNA. The exact function of RtT is unknown although it is thought that it may be involved in changing the cellular response in relation to amino acid starvation.
Source: RNAcentral